GACGAACCGAGCGAACGUUGUUCGGAAUCACUGGGCUUAAAGGGCGCGUAGGCGGGCUGCCAAGUCCGUGGUGAAAUCCCCCGGCUCAACCGGGGAAUGGCCUCGGAUACUGGCGGCCUCGAGGGGGGUAGGGGCGUGCGGAACUGUGGGUGGAGCGGUGAAAUGCGUUGAUAUCCACAGGAACUCCGGUGGCGAAGGCGGCACGCUGGGCCCCAUCUGACGCUGAGGCGCGAAAGCCAGGGGAGCGAACGGG
This 253-nucleotide ribosomal RNA is filed under the name uncultured bacterium. RNAcentral's name for it is "partial 16S ribosomal RNA". It matches the Rfam family "Bacterial small subunit ribosomal RNA", at positions 524 to 776 of the family's 1533-position model. The record is from RNAcentral.